This 211-nucleotide ribosomal RNA is filed under the name uncultured bacterium. RNAcentral's name for it is "partial 16S ribosomal RNA". It matches the Rfam family "Bacterial small subunit ribosomal RNA", at positions 37 to 238 of the family's 1533-position model. The record is from RNAcentral.
AUUGAACGCGUGGCGGCAUGCCUUACACAUGCAAGUCGAACGGCAGCGACGGGGGCAACCCUGGUGGCGAGUGGCGAACGGGUGAGUAAUACAUCGGAACGUGCCCGGUAGGUGGGGGAUAGCGUCGGCGAAAGCCGGAUUAAUACCGCAUACGACCUACGGGUGAAAGCGGGGAUCGCAAGACCUCGCGCCAUCGGAGCGGCCGAUGUCA